UUUGCUGAGGAUGGUGGUUGCUGUGCUGAGGUGUCUCCAUUUAAUUGGCUGGAGUUUGGUCGUCAUUCUCGUGCGCUUCGCGUGCUUCCGCCAAGAAGAGGAGAGCUGGACUUCCUGCUGUUGUCCGAGAAGAAGUGAGGAAGGACCUUCGAUUUUGAGAAGGAACCGUUCCUCAGUGCCGUCAGUACGCCAAGAAGAGGAGAGCUGGACUUCCUGCUGUUGUCCGAGAAGAAGUAAGGAAGGACCUUCGGUUUUGAGAAGGAACCGUUCCUCAGUGCCGUCAGUACCCUUUCCCUCGUCAGUAGCUUGCUAGCUGAGCUUAUGACGGUUGCUGAUGGCUUGAUCGAUGGCAAGUGCUGGGUGAUGGGCUCAAUGUGGGUUGCCAUGAUUUGACAACAUUGCCCUUCUUUUGAAACCAAAACCGCUCUAUCUUGCUGCCCUUCUUCCUUGUCUUUGCGAUUUGUGAGUCUCGCCUCUCCUCUGGACAGCUGCCGAAGAACACAUUUUUUCUGGUGAAAUAUUACAAAUUUUUUGGUCAGUCAUGUACUGCCUACCGUGCUAAUGUUAGAACCACUCAGUGUUCAGCUUCUAAACAAAAUUGCUUUGCCGAGCCUGCAAAUAUUACUCUCGUCUUUCCUUCUGGAGGAUUAGGUGGCUGUCAACAUGAAGCAUGUUGUUGGCAAGUUGAGUUGGAGGCUGAAAGAUUUAGGAUUGCUGUUACAGCUGAAGCUCAGAGCAUUUUUUAUGCUCUGUCCAAAACGU
Coffea eugenioides is the source of this 762-nucleotide long non-coding RNA. RefSeq lists it as uncharacterized. NCBI's taxonomy places the organism in Eukaryota, Viridiplantae, Streptophyta, Magnoliopsida, Gentianales, Rubiaceae. The transcript is spliced from 3 exons. The record is from RefSeq and is a predicted model, not a curated record.